GAGGGUAUAGCUCAAGUGGUAGAGUGCAUGCUUAGCAUGCACAAGGUCCUGGGUUCAAUCUCCAGUACCUCCA
Molecule: transfer RNA, 73 nt
Filed under: Camelus bactrianus (Bactrian camel)
Lineage: Eukaryota; Metazoa; Chordata; Mammalia; Artiodactyla; Camelidae
Also listed under: 2 other names
Rfam family: tRNA
About the family: Transfer RNA (tRNA) molecules are approximately 80 nucleotides in length. Their secondary structure includes four short double-helical elements and three loops (D, anti-codon, and T loops). Further hydrogen bonds mediate the characteristic L-shaped molecular structure. tRNAs have two regions of fundamental functional importance: the anti-codon, which is responsible for specific mRNA codon recognition, and the 3' end, to which the tRNAs corresponding amino acid is attached (by aminoacyl-tRNA synthetases). tRNAs cope with the degeneracy of the genetic code in two manners: having more than one tRNA (with a specific anti-codon) for a particular amino acid; and 'wobble' base-pairing, i.e. permitting non-standard base-pairing at the 3rd anti-codon position.
Source: Rfam by way of RNAcentral